GGGCGUUAAGUUGCAGGGUAUAGACCCGAAACCCGGUGAUCUAGCCAUGGGCAGGUUGAAGGUUGGGUAACACUAACUGGAGGACCGAACCGACUAAUGUUGAAAAAUUAGCGGAUGACCUGUGGCUGGGGGUGAAAGGCCAAUCAAACCGGGAGAUAGCUGGUUCUCCCCGAAAGCUAUUUAGGUAGCGCCUCGUGAAUUCAUCUCCGGGGGUAGAGCACUGUUUCGGCUAGGGGGCCAUCCCGGCUUACCAACCCGAUGCAAACUGCGAAUACCGGAGAAUGUUAUCACGGGAGACACACGGCGGGUGCUAACGUCCGUCGUGAAGAGGGAAACAACCCAGACCGCCAGCUAAGGUCCCAAAGUCAUGGUUAAGUGGGAAACGAUGUGGGAAGGCCCAGACAGCCAGGAUGUUGGCUUAGAAGCAGCCAUCAUUUAAAGAAAGCGUAAUAGCUCACUGGUCGAGUCGGCCUGCGCGGAAGAUGUAACGGGGCUAAACCAUGCACCGAAGCUGCGGCAGCGAACGUAUCACCCAAGACAACUUUACGGAGUUGACGAUUGACGGAGCGAAGCGACGUCAAAGCGUUCAUUAAAGUCGAGUUGGCUUAGGGAUACGUUCGUUGGGUAGGGGAGCGUUCUGUAAGCCUGUGAAGGUGUGUCGUGAGGCAUGCUGGAGGUAUCAGAAGUGCGAAUGCUGACAUAAGUAACGAUAAAGCGGGUGAAAAGCCCGCUCGCCGGAAGACCAAGGGUUCCUGUCCAACGUUAAUCGGGGCAGGGUGAGUCGACCCCUAAGGCGAGGCCGAAAGGCGUAGUCGAUGGGAAACGGGUUAAUAUUCCCGUACUUGGUGUUACUGCGAAGGGGGGACGGAGAAGGCUAUGUUGGCCGGGCGACGGUUGUCCCGGUUUAAGCGUGUAGGUGUGUGUUCCAGGUAAAUCCGGUUCACUUUAACACUGAGGCGUGACGACGAGGCACUACGGUGCUGAAGCAACAAAUGCCCUGCUUCCAGGAAAAGCCUCUAAGCAUCAGGUAACAYSAAAUCGUACCCCAAACCGACACAGGUGGUCAGGUAGAGAAUACCAAGGCGCUUGAGAGAACUCGGGUGAAGGAACUAGGCAAAAUGGUGCCGUAACUUCGGGAGAAGGCACGCUGACACGUAGGUGAAGUGAUUUACUCAUGGAGCUGAAGUCAGUCGAAGAUACCAGCUGGCUGCAACUGUUUAUUAAAAACACAGCACUGUGCAAACACGAAAGUGGACGUAUACGGUGUGACGCCUGCCCGGUGCCGGAAGGUUAAUUGAUGGGGUCAGCGYAAGCGAAGCUCCUGAUCGAAGCCCCGGUAAACGGCGGCCGUAACUAUAACGGUCCUAAGGUAGCGAAAUUCCUUGUCGGGUAAGUUCCGACCUGCACGAAUGGCGUAAUGAUGGCCAGGCUGUCUCCACCCGAGACUCAGUGAAAUUGAACUCGCUGUGAAGAUGCAGUGUACCCGCGGCAAGACGGAAAGACCCCGUGAACCUUUACUAUAGCUUGACACUGAACAUUGAGCCUUGAUGUGUAGGAUAGGUGGGAGGCUUUGAAGUGUGGACGCCAGUCUGCAUGGAGCCGACCUUGAAAUACCACCCUUUAAUGUUUGAUGUUCUAACGUGGACCCGUWAYCCGGGUUGCGGACAGUGUCUGGUGGGUAGUUUGACUGGGGCGGUCUCCUCCUAAAGAGUAACGGAGGAGCACGAAGGUUGGCUAAUCCUGGUCGGACAUCAGGAGGUUAGUGCAAUGGCAUAAGCCAGCUUGACUGCGAGCGUGACGGCGCGAGCAGGUGCGAAAGCAGGUCAUAGUGAUCCGGUGGUUCUGAAUGGAAGGGCCAUCGCUCAACGGAUAAAAGGUACUCCGGGGAUAACAGGCUGAUACCGCCCAAGAGUUCAUAUCGACGGCGGUGUUUGGCACCUCGAUGUCGGCUCAUCACAUCCUGGGGCUGAAGUAGGUCCCAAGGGUAUGGCUGUUCGCCAUUUAAAGUGGUACGCGAGCUGGGUUUAGAACGUCGUGAGACAGGUUCUCCCUGAGACUUAGAGUCUCCUGAAGGAACGUUGAAGACGACGACGUUGAUAGGCCGGGUGUGUAAGCGCAGCGAUGCGUUGAGCUAACCGGUACUAAUGAACCGUGAGGCUUAACCUU
RNAcentral lists this ribosomal RNA (2166 nucleotides) under Salmonella enterica. RNAcentral describes it as "partial 23S ribosomal RNA". Lineage: Bacteria; Pseudomonadati; Pseudomonadota; Gammaproteobacteria; Enterobacterales; Enterobacteriaceae. The record is from RNAcentral.